Molecule: ribosomal RNA, 515 nt
Filed under: uncultured soil bacterium
Lineage: Bacteria
Description: bacterial SSU rRNA
Rfam family: Bacterial small subunit ribosomal RNA
Source: RNAcentral
AGAAUGAACGCUGGCGGCGCGCCUAAUACAUGCAAGUCGAGCGAGAAGACGUAGCAAUACGUUUGUAAAGCGGCGAACGGGUGAGGAAUACAUGGGUAACCUACCCUUGAGUGGGGAAUAACUAGCCGAAAGGUUAGCUAAUACCGCGUACGCUUCUUGGACUUCGGUUCAGGGAGGAAAGCGAUGCCGAGGGUAUCGCGCUCUUGGAUGGGCUCAUGUCCUAUCAGCUUGUUGGUGAGGUAACGGCUCACCAAGGCUUCGACGGGUAGCUGGUCUGAGAGGACGAUCAGCCACACUGGCACUGCGACACGGGCCAGACUCCUACGGGAGGCAGCAGUAAGGAAUAUUGCGCAAGUGGGACGAAAGCCUGACGCAGCGACGCCGGCGUGGGGGAUGGAAGGUCGUUCGGAUUUCGGUAAACCCCGUUUCGGGAAGGAAGAGUGGAAGUGGGUAACCCAGUUCCGGACGGUACCGUCCAGAACGCAGCCACGGCUAACUCGUCGCCAGCCAGCCGA